AAGGAUCAUUAUAGUAGCCCCUCUCGGGGUCUUCUCUGCGCUUCGACUGUGCGUCUCUCGCACGUCGCUAGCAAAGUGAUUCUCACACCUGUGCACCUUUCAGGCGCUUCGGCGCCUGCUUUUACACGCAUCAGUCUUUGAAUGUAAACUGUUAUUCGUAACACAUAUACAACUUUCAACAACGGAUCUCUUGGCUCUCGCAUCGAUGAAGAACGCAGCGAAAUGCGAUAAGUAAUGUGAAUUGCAGAAUUCAGUGAAUCAUCGAAUCUUUGAACGCACCUUGCGCUCCCUGGUAUUCCGGGGAGCAUGCCUGUUUGAGUGUCACGUGAAUACUUCAUCCCCUUGACGUCAAGUCUUGGGUGAUGGUCUUGGACUGUGCCGGUGGUAUGCCGUCGGCUCGUCUUGAAAUGCAUUAGCUCGUCUGUUAAGUGAGACGGCAAACGGUGUGAUAGUCUAUCUACGCCUAUUAGCCUUUCUCCAAGUCGGUCGGGCUCACAAACCGUCGAAAGACAAACUUCAUUUUAACGCUCUGGCCUCAAAUCAGGUAGGACUACCCGCUGAACUUAA
RNAcentral lists this ribosomal RNA (567 nucleotides) under Guepinia helvelloides. RNAcentral's name for it is "eukaryotic LSU rRNA". The stretch from base 171 to 324 matches the Rfam family "5.8S ribosomal RNA". Lineage: Eukaryota; Fungi; Basidiomycota; Agaricomycetes; Auriculariales. The record is from RNAcentral. RNAcentral also lists the same sequence under 1 other name.